Myotis lucifugus (little brown bat) is the source of this 77-nucleotide non-coding RNA. Lineage: Eukaryota; Metazoa; Chordata; Mammalia; Chiroptera; Vespertilionidae. The record is from Rfam.
GGCUGUUCUCGGGUGCCCACACCCCGAAUUCGGGCUCCCUCCUCCCUGAUUCCAGGGUGUGUCACCCAAGACCAGCU